CGCCCACGAGCCACGUCGGGCGCUGGCGAUCGAGCCGACGGGCGAGCGGUCGGCGCGCUCGUCCGUUCGAGCCGGGCAUGCGCGCC
Molecule: transfer RNA, 86 nt
Filed under: Methylorubrum extorquens
Lineage: Bacteria; Pseudomonadati; Pseudomonadota; Alphaproteobacteria; Hyphomicrobiales; Methylobacteriaceae
Description: tRNA-Ser
Source: RNAcentral